Long non-coding RNA from Drosophila miranda, 462 nucleotides. RefSeq lists it as uncharacterized. The record is from RefSeq and is a predicted model, not a curated record. NCBI's taxonomy places the organism in Eukaryota, Metazoa, Arthropoda, Insecta, Diptera, Drosophilidae. The transcript is spliced from 2 exons.
UGAAUGCGGUCGUUGGCUCCGGGGAACGGAACAAUGAGGCUCUAAUUAGCAGCAAAGGUCAAGCGAUAGUGCCGUCCGUUACAAUUCCAUUCCACGCAACUCACAUCCCUUCCUGCAUCCUGCCUCGUGCCUGAUAUUUGGCAGAAUGGGAAAUUUACAACCAACAAUAUUUGGCAUCCGAUUGCGGCGAGGCCAUCAUCAAGACGUGCAUAAUUGACACUUGCCCGAGGACACUCUCCGGUCCACUCCAGGGCAUGCCACAAUCGAGCCGUGUCAAACCCCUCCACACACCCCUAACAAAUUCCACGGCAAUGACCAUAAAAAUAGUAGAGUGCGUGUCCUGGAAGGAGGAGGUGAAUGGCAGGGGAGGAUUGCGGUCUGUUCUCCUGACAAAUCGAGCGCAACCCCCUCGAGGGCACAUCGAACGGCAAUUAAAAAUUAAAAUCCAACUUUUGUAAUCGA